GCUGAAGGAGGAGCUUGCUUCUCCGGAUGAGUUGCGAACGGGUGAGUAACGCGUAGGUAACCUGCCUGGUAGUGGGGGAUAACUAUUGGAAACGAUAGCUAAUACCGCAUAAUAGCAGUUGUUGCAUGACAACUGUUUGAAAGGUGCAAUUGCACCGCUACCAGAUGGACCUGCGUUGUAUUAGCUAGUUGGUGGGGUAACGGCUCACCAAGGCGACGAUACAUAGCCGACCUGAGAGGGUGAUCGGCCACACUGGGACUGAGACACGGCCCAGACUCCUACGGGAGGCAGCAGUAGGGAAUCUUCGGCAAUGGACGGAAGUCUGACCGAGCAACGCCGCGUGAGUGAAGAAGGUUUUCGGAUCGUAAAGCUCUGUUGUAAGAGAAGAACGAGUGUGAGAGUGGAAAGUUCACACUGUGACGGUAUCUUACCAGAAAGGGACGGCUAACUACGUGCCAGCAGCCGCGGUAAUACGUAGGUCCCGAGCGUUGUCCGGAUUUAUUGGGCGUAAAGCGAGCGCAGGCGGUUAGAUAAGUCUGAAGUUAAAGGCUGUGGCUUAACCAUAGUACGCUUUGGAAACUGUUUAACUUGAGUGCAAGAGGGGAGAGUGGAAUUCCAUGUGUAGCGGUGAAAUGCGUAGAUAUAUGGAGGAACACCGGUGGCGAAAGCGG
Molecule: ribosomal RNA, 671 nt
Filed under: uncultured Bacilli bacterium
Lineage: Bacteria; Bacillati; Bacillota; Bacilli
Description: bacterial SSU rRNA
Rfam family: Bacterial small subunit ribosomal RNA
Source: RNAcentral